GAUGAACGCUGGCGGCGUGCCUAAUACAUGCAAGUCGAGCGAACAGACGAGGAGCUUGCUCCUCUGACGUUAGCGGCGGACGGGUGCGUAACACGUGGAUAACCUACCUAUAGGACUGGGAUAACUUCGGGAAACCGGAGCUAAUACCGGAUAAUUUAUUGAACCGCAUGGUUCAAUAGUGAAAGACGGUUUUGCUGUCACUUAUAGAUGGAUCCGCGCCGCAUUCGCUAGUUGGUAAGGUAACGGCUUACCAAGGCAACGAUGCGUAGCCGACCUGAGAGGGUGAUCGGCCACACUGGAACUGAGACACGGUCCAGACUCCUACGGGAGGCAGCAGUAGGGAAUCUUCCGCAAGGGGCGAAAGCCUGACGGAGCAACGCCGCGUGAGUGAUGAAGGUCUUCGGAUCGUAAAACUCUGUUAUUAGGGAAGAACAAAUGUGUAAGUAACUAUGCACGUCUUGACGGUACCUAAUCAGAAAGCCACGGCUAACUACGUG
Molecule: ribosomal RNA, 497 nt
Filed under: uncultured bacterium
Lineage: Bacteria
Description: partial 16S ribosomal RNA
Rfam family: Bacterial small subunit ribosomal RNA
Source: RNAcentral